This 746-nucleotide ribosomal RNA is filed under the name uncultured bacterium. Its description in RNAcentral is "bacterial SSU rRNA". It matches the Rfam family "Bacterial small subunit ribosomal RNA", at positions 63 to 795 of the family's 1533-position model. The record is from RNAcentral.
CGAGGGGCAGCGGUGGUGAAGGCUUGCCUUCACCAGCCGGCGACCGGCGCACGGGUGAGUAACACGUAUGCAACCUGCCUGCCACAGCCGGAUAAUCGGGAGAAAUCCCGUCUAAUACGGCAUAAUGCAUCGACGGGACAUCCUGUUGGUGCCAAAGGUUAAUUCCGGUGGCGGAUGGGCAUGCGUCGCAUUAGUUAGUUGGCGGUGUAACGGACCACCAAGACGACGAUGCGUAGGGGUUCUGAGAGGAAGGUCCCCCACACUGGUACUGAGACACGGACCAGACUCCUACGGGAGGCAGCAGUGAGGAAUAUUGGUCAAUGGGCGGGAGCCUGAACCAGCCAAGUCGCGUGAGGGAUGACGGCCCUAUGGGUUGUAAACCUCUUUUGCCGGGGAGCAAAGUGCCGCACGUGUGCGGUUUGGAGAGUACCCGGAGAAAAAGCAUCGGCUAACUCCGUGCCAGCAGCCGCGGUAAUACGGAGGAUGCGAGCGUUAUCCGGAUUUAUUGGGUUUAAAGGGUGCGUAGGCGGACGCUUAAGUCAGCGGUAAAAUUGCGGGGCUCAACCUCGUCGAGCCGUUGAAACUGGGUGCCUUGAGUGGGCGAGAAGUACGCGGAAUGCGUGGUGUAGCGGUGAAAUGCAUAGAUAUCACGCAGAACUCCGAUUGCGAAGGCAGCGUACCGGCGCCCAACUGACGCUGAAGCACGAAGGCGUGGGUAUCGAACAGGAUUAGAUACCCUGGUAGUC